This 259-nucleotide ribosomal RNA is filed under the name uncultured bacterium. RNAcentral's name for it is "partial 16S ribosomal RNA". It matches the Rfam family "Bacterial small subunit ribosomal RNA", at positions 29 to 265 of the family's 1533-position model. The record is from RNAcentral.
AACGAACGCUGCGGCGUGCCUAACACAUGCAAGUCGAACGAGAAACCCCGGCUUCGGUUGGGGGAAGUAAAGUGGCGCACGGGUGAGUAACGCGGUGAGUAACCUACCCCGCUUGACUGGAAUAACGUCGGGAAACUGGCGCUAAUACCGGAUGAAAUCCCGGGUUGCAAGGCUACGGGAUCAAAGGAGGCCUACUCCAUGGAAGCUUCCACAAGGGGAUGGGCUCGCGUCCCAUUAGCUAGUUGGUAGGGUAAAAGCC